GUUACUGGAUCCCCACACAGAGAACGUUAAGCAGGCCUCAGAGGGCGAGGUUUAUGUCAACAUGCCUUGGCUGAAACCUCCGAAGAUGCCAGCUGACAAAGAUGGUCACCCUCUCACUGGGUCCUCACAAUUUUGCUUUGAACGAUGUGUUCCACCAGGGCAACAGCAAUGACCAGAGGGAGGUUCUGAGUAAGCUGGAGCUUGUGCCUGAGCUUGCUGGUCUUAUUAACAGCCGGUGUGUGGAGCAGCUGUUUCCGGGGAUGAGAAAUAACAAUUACUUUUUGAAUCUGACAACCCCAUCAACACACAUAUUUCUACCAAUAAAUAUACUCCAUCAUUACAAUACGGCAUGAACCAAAAAAUGAAAAACCAGUGCAGCAAAAUUGUUCCUCCACAAUGCAGUGUGACAGCCAUGGAAGGGUAGUCUUAGCUCAUUCCCCUUCAGCCGGAAUGACAACGGGGUCAUCAGGCAAAGAACAAGAAGAGUCUCAAGAUUGUGAGUCAUUGCUCUAUUUUACACGUCGUUUAAAGGAGAAAUGUGACAGUCCACACUUCAUUUUUGUUUUUCUGUUGUUGCUUUUUUCACUAGUAAAUGAUGACAGUGAGCAGAGACCUCAUGGAGACUUCACUAGUCUCCACAAGUCGUCAGCACACAGAGCAUGCCGGGGACAGGAACUGCAAGACAGCCAGGAACAACUGGUAAAGUCAAACCAUUGUGCCACUGUGGUUAUCUAUGAAUGUCAUUCAUAUAAUCACAUGCAUGUAUAAAGACUGUGUUUUGUUCCACUAGCUGUCUCAGGUCUUGGGUGAGACCAAAAGUCCCACUCAGCACCUUGCAAUGGUGAAGAACAUCAUCCUGACCCGCUUUGACUUUUGGAGUCUUUAUUUAAUUCAAAUGGAUUGGAUAGUCUAGUUCAAUAGUCAAUAUAUGUUGACAGUAAGAGAUCAGCACUAUGUCUGUUACAGAGAGUAGAGAACGUGUUUGCUGCAGACAGCUUUGUCAUUUCCUCUUGGUUCCCACCAUCAUCGAUGAACCCCAUGGAUCACCUGCCGAUAAUUUGUUUAAACUUUUUGCUUUUGUGAGUGAAGUUUGAGCAUUUCAUAUUCAGCUAUUGAUGUCUUUUUACAGGACAAUGCAGCCAGUCUAGAGUGGAUUCUUCUCCCAGGGUUCGUACCUGGACAUUGGAUACAUACGGGUUUUGCGCCACUCUGUCCUUAGGUGCUGCAUUGACGUUUGAGGAUGGGCUGCCAUGUCUCCGCCAAUAGAUGGCGCCCGUGCAAUGGGUGGCGUCAACGUCUGCGGAGUACAAAGUUUAACUCUGCCCACAUUGAACCACGCUGUGUGCUGCAGCCAGGGGCUUCUCCUUCAUUUGGCCAAACAGCAGCAUAAGGACAUGGCUACAGGAGUCGUUUAUUACUUUAAGUGAGCAAUUUAUCUCCACCAUUGACUGGCACAUUUCGGUUUGUUUUUCCAGGACCUCUGCUGACAGAAUCCAGGGUCGUGGUGGUGUGUCUGCACGGGGCGGCGGAGGACUCGCACCCACACACGCAGCUCGCAGUUGACUGGUUCUGUGGGACUGGCUACAGACCGGUUUCUUCAGCCGAAGCCUGAUCAACGCCACUCGUGCCUGGCUCCAAAUGAUCUGAAGCAUCAUUUAAAUAAAGAAAUAAACUCUGACUGCAACCCUGUAUU
Long non-coding RNA from Sparus aurata (gilthead seabream), 1693 nucleotides. The record is from Ensembl. Lineage: Eukaryota; Metazoa; Chordata; Actinopteri; Spariformes; Sparidae.